GUCUCCCUCUUUCUUCGUGCUUAACACAUGCAAGUCGAACGGAAAGGCCCUGCUUGCAGGGUACUCGAGUGGCGAACGGGUGAGUAACACGUGGGUGAUCUGCCCUUCACUUCGGGAUAAGCCUGGGAAACUGGGUCUAAUACCGGAUAGUCGCCAUGUUUAGUGUGAUGGUUGGAAAGUUUUUUCGGUGUAGGAUGAGCUCGCGGCCUAUCAGCUUGUUGGUGGGGUAAUGGCCUACCAAGGCGGCGACGGGUAGCCGGCCUGAGAGGGUGGACGGCCACAUUGGGACUGAGAGACGGCCCAGACUCCUACGGGAGGCAGCAGUGGGGAAUAUUGCACAAUGGGCGCAAGCCUGAUGCAGCGACGCCGCGUGGGGGAUGACGGCCUUCGGGUUGUAAACUCCUUUCGCUAGGGACGAAGCUUUUUGUGACGGUACCUAGAUAAGAAGCACCGGCUAACUACGUG
Molecule: ribosomal RNA, 465 nt
Filed under: uncultured bacterium
Lineage: Bacteria
Description: partial 16S ribosomal RNA
Rfam family: Bacterial small subunit ribosomal RNA
Source: RNAcentral